Molecule: ribosomal RNA, 292 nt
Filed under: uncultured bacterium
Lineage: Bacteria
Description: partial 16S ribosomal RNA
Rfam family: Bacterial small subunit ribosomal RNA
Source: RNAcentral
GUGUCAGCCGCCGCGGUAAUACGGAGGGUGCAAGCGUUAUCCGGAUUCACUGGGUUUAAAGGGAGCGUAGGAGGGCAGGUAAGUCAGUGGUGAAAUCUUCGAGCUUAACUCGGAAACUGCCGUUGAUACUAUCUGUCUUGAAUACCGUGGAGAUGAGCGGAAUAUGUCAUGUAGCGGUGAAAUGCUUAGAUAUGACAUAGAACACCGAUAGCGUAGGCAGCUUGCUACACGAAUAUUGACACUGAGGCACGAAAGCGUGGGGAUCAAACAGGAUUAGAAACCCGAGUAGUCC